RNAcentral lists this ribosomal RNA (421 nucleotides) under Streptomyces sp. MBT29. RNAcentral's name for it is "bacterial SSU rRNA". It matches the Rfam family "Bacterial small subunit ribosomal RNA", at positions 91 to 527 of the family's 1533-position model. Lineage: Bacteria; Bacillati; Actinomycetota; Actinomycetes; Kitasatosporales; Streptomycetaceae. The record is from RNAcentral.
GAUUGUGGCGACGGGUGAGUACACGUGGGCAAUCUGCCCUUCACUCUGGGACAAGCCCUGGAAACGGGGUCUAAUACCGGAUACCACUCCUGCCCGCAUGGGUGGGGGUUGAAAGCUCCGGCGGUGAAGGAUGAGCCCGCGGCCUAUCAGCUUGUUGGUGGGGUAAUGGCCCACCAAGGCGACGACGGGUAGCCGGCCUGAGAGGGCGACCGGCCACACUGGGACUGAGACACGGCCCAGACUCCUACGGGAGGCAGCAGUGGGGAAUAUUGCACAAUGGGCGAAAGCCUGAUGCAGCGACGCCGCGUGAGGGAUGACGGCCUUCGGGUUGUAAACCUCUUUCAGCAGGGAAGAAGCGAAAGUGACGGUACCUGCAGAAGAAGCGCCGGCUAACUACGUGCCAGCAGCCGGGGAUAAUACG